GUCCCCGUAGCUCAGUGGAUAGAGCACCGGUCUCCGGAACCGGGUGCGCAGGUUCGAUUCCUGUCGGGGACG
This 72-nucleotide transfer RNA is filed under the name Ktedonosporobacter rubrisoli. It matches the Rfam family "tRNA". From Rfam's summary of the family: Transfer RNA (tRNA) molecules are approximately 80 nucleotides in length. The record is from Rfam by way of RNAcentral. Lineage: Bacteria; Bacillati; Chloroflexota; Ktedonobacteria; Ktedonobacterales; Ktedonosporobacteraceae.